CUUUUAAAGGAUAAUAGUCAAUCCAUUGGUCUUAGGAACCACUAACC
Molecule: transfer RNA, 47 nt
Filed under: Florisuga mellivora
Lineage: Eukaryota; Metazoa; Chordata; Aves; Apodiformes; Trochilidae
Description: tRNA-Leu
Source: RNAcentral